This 867-nucleotide long non-coding RNA is filed under the name Pan troglodytes (chimpanzee). RNAcentral's name for it is "lincRNA". Lineage: Eukaryota; Metazoa; Chordata; Mammalia; Primates; Hominidae. The record is from RNAcentral.
GACCUUGCUCAGGUCACGUUCUGAGCCUGCUUCUCACUCCUGCCCCCUCCCACCCUCCUGGUUCUGCCAUGGACAAGCUGAAGUCUCUCUGGGACCAGGGGACCCGCAUGGCCCAGCCACCCCACCCCACCAUCUCCCAGGCAUGUGAGAAAAUAUCACAUUCUCUGUGUUUUGGAGAUUUCUUCUAAAUGUAUUUUCCAACUAUCAUUUCAUAGCAAAUCAGCGAGAAAAAAGGGGCUUCCUGGAGCUCCUGCAACCCCAGGCAUUAGUUCCAGUGCAGUUCUAGGAUCAGAUCAAUUCACUCGACAACAAGAGAAACAAAUGGAGAUUCCUACACAAAGACUUUCAAGCACAAAGAAAUCCUGCUGCCUGUAAAGUGGAGCUGCCUCAGCUCUUGAUGAACGACAGAAAAUACCACCUACUGCCAGACCUCAACGCCUCACAAAACUCUCACCCACCUACUGCUUUUAGCUCACAUUCCAGGAAUUCAGAUGAAGUGAAGUGCUCUCAUGGGGACCAGGCAUGGUUAUUCCAGUCCACUGCCCUGCAAGCCUCAAGGGAAGCCAACUGCCCUUCAGCAAGUCACACCUGCCUUGGUGGAGGCCUUGAUUGGAAGUGCCACACGCUACAUGUCCAGUCCUGAGCGGGAGAAUCGGUGUAGGGACGUUGUGGGGAUGCCGGCUGUGGCCAGAUCAGGUCCAGCUACAGAAGAAUGAAGACUCCACCUGAGGGCUGGAAAAACAAAACCUCAAGUGUGAGGCAGCCAACCUGUUACCUCGAGGGACUGUCCCGCAGCACAGCGGGGCCAUGGGAACAGCAGCAGACACCCCGGCCUCCUCGCUACCUGUGUGUGUAUUAACGCCCCGG